This 852-nucleotide ribosomal RNA is filed under the name Paraphaeosphaeria michotii. RNAcentral describes it as "eukaryotic LSU rRNA". It matches the Rfam family "Eukaryotic large subunit ribosomal RNA", at positions 74 to 943 of the family's 3401-position model. Lineage: Eukaryota; Fungi; Ascomycota; Dothideomycetes; Pleosporales; Didymosphaeriaceae. The record is from RNAcentral.
AUUGCCCUAGUAACGGCGAGUGAAGCGGCAACAGCUCAAAUUUGAAAUCUGGCUCUCUUUGGGGGUCCGAGUUGUAAUUUGCAGAGGAUGCUUUGGCAUUGGCAGCGGUCUAAGUUCCUUGGAACAGGACAUCACAGAGGGUGAGAAUCCCGUACGUGGUCGCUUGCCUUUGCCGUGUAAAGCUCCUUCGACGAGUCGAGUUGUUUGGGAAUGCAGCUCUAAAUGGGAGGUAAAUUUCUUCUAAAGCUAAAUACUGGCCAGAGACCGAUAGCGCACAAGUAGAGUGAUCGAAAGAUGAAAAGUACUUUGGAAAGAGAGUCAAAAAGCACGUGAAAUUGUUGAAAGGGAAGCGCUUGCAGCCAGACUUGCCCGCAGUUGCUCACCUAGGCUUUCGCCUGGGGCACUCUUCUGCGGGCAGGCCAGCAUCAGUUUGGGCGGUUGGAUAAAGGCCUCUGUCACGUAUCUUCCUUCGGGAUGACCUUAUAGGGGAGGCGUAAUGCAACCAGCCCGGACUGAGGUCCGCGCAUCUGCUAGGAUGCUGGCGUAAUGGCUGUAAGCGGCCCGUCUUGAAACACGGACCAAGGAGUCUAACAUCUAUGCGAGUGUUUGGGUGUCAAGCCCGAGCGCGUAAUGAAAGUGAACGGAGGUGGGAACCUUUUAGGUGCACCAUCGACCGAUCCUGAUGUCUUCGGAUGGAUUUGAGUAAGAGCAUAGCUGUUGGGACCCGAAAGAUGGUGAACUAUGCUUGAAUAGGGUGAAGCCAGAGGAAACUCUGGUGGAGGCUCGCAGCGGUUCUGACGUGCAAAUCGAUCGUCAAAUUUGGGCAUAGGGGCGAAAGACUAAUCGAACCAU